This 250-nucleotide ribosomal RNA is filed under the name uncultured bacterium. RNAcentral's name for it is "partial 16S ribosomal RNA". It matches the Rfam family "Bacterial small subunit ribosomal RNA", at positions 524 to 773 of the family's 1533-position model. The record is from RNAcentral.
UACGAAGGGUGCUAGCGUUGUUCGGAAUCACUGGGCGUAAAGCGUGCGUAGGCGGCUAAACAAGUCAGGGGUGAAAGCCUGAGGCUCAACCUCAGAAUUGCCUCUGAAACUGUUUAGCUGGAGUGUCGGAGGGGAUAGCGGAAUUUCUAAUGUAGCGGUGAAAUGCGUAGAUAUUAGAAGGAACACCGGUGGCGAAGGCGGCUAUCUGGACGACAACUGACGCUGAGGCACGAAAGCGUGGGGAUCAAAC